AUUGAACGCUGGCGGCAUGCUUUACACAUGCAAGUCGAACGGUAACAGGUUAAGCUGACGAGUGGCGAACGGGUGAGUAAUGCAUCGGAACGUGCCCGAUCGAGGGGGAUAACGCAGCGAAAGCUGCGCUAAUACCGCAUACGAGCUGAGGAUGAAAGCGGGGGACCGUAAGGCCUCGCGCGAUCGGAGCGGCCGAUGUCAGAUUAGGUAGUUGGUGGGGUAAAGGCUCACCGAGCCAACGAUCUGUAGCUGGUCUGAGAGGACAACCAGCCACACUGGGACUGAGACACGGCCCAGACUCCUACGGGAGGCAGCAGUGGGGAAUUUUGGACAAUGGGCGAAAGCCUGAUCCAGCAAUGCCGCGUGCAGGAAGAAGGCCUUCGGGUUGUAAACUGCUUUUGUACGGAGCGAAAAGGCUCUCUCUAAUACAGGGGGCUCAUGACGGUACCGUAAGAAUAAGCACCGGCUAACUACGUGCCAGCAGCCGCCGUAA
This 493-nucleotide ribosomal RNA is filed under the name uncultured bacterium. Its description in RNAcentral is "partial 16S ribosomal RNA". It matches the Rfam family "Bacterial small subunit ribosomal RNA", at positions 29 to 523 of the family's 1533-position model. The record is from RNAcentral.